GAUGAACGCUGGCGGCGUGCUUAACACAUGCAAGUCGAACGGAAAGGCCCAAGCUUGCUUGGGUACUCGAGUGGCGAACGGGUGAGUAACACGUGGGUGAUCUGCCCUGCACUUCGGGAUAAGCCUUGGAAACUGGGUCUAAUACCGGAUAGGACCACAUUUUGGAUGGUGUGGUGGAAAGUUUUUCGGUGUGGGAUGAGCUCGCGGCCUAUCAGCUUGUUGGUGGGGUAAUGGCCUACCAAGGCGUCGACGGGUAGCCGGCCUGAGAGGGUGUACGGCCACAUUGGGACUGAGAUACGGCCCAGACUCCUACGGGAGGCAGCAGUGGGGAAUAUUGCACAAUGGGCGCAAGCCUGAUGCAGCGACGCCGCGUGGGGGAUGACGGCCUUCGGGUUGUAAACUCCUGUCGCUAGGGACGAAGCGUUAUGUGACGGUACCUGGAGAAGAAGCACCGGCUAACUACGUGC
Molecule: ribosomal RNA, 467 nt
Filed under: uncultured bacterium
Lineage: Bacteria
Description: partial 16S ribosomal RNA
Rfam family: Bacterial small subunit ribosomal RNA
Source: RNAcentral